GCCUGAUCCGGGCCCGUUGGCGGCGUCACUGACGCUUCGCUCCGGUCCUCGGAUCCCGAGCGCGGGGAGGCAGACCGACUGUGAGCUGCUUGUCCCCAUCCUGCGGCCGUCCUGGGGACACAGAGCCCUCCGUGGUGCCCGGGGAUUGGAUUGGAGCCAGGACCUCACUUCCUCCUCUGCCCCUGCCCCUGCCCCUCCCAGCACCUGGCCCACACCCUGCAGCCCGCCCCAUGGUCUGGCCCUGGGUGGCGAUGGCGUCCAGGUGGGGUCCCCUCAUUGGCCUGGCUCCGUGCUGCCUCUGGCUCCUGGGGGCAGUCCUUCUGAUGGACGCGUCUGCACGGCCUGCCAACCACUCGUCCACUCGAGAGAGAGUAGCCAACAGGGAGGAGAAUGAGAUCCUGCCCCCAGACCACCUGAACGGGGUGAAGCUGGAGAUGGACGGGCACCUCAAUCGCGGCUUCCACCAGGAGGUCUUCCUAGGCAAGGACCUGGGUGGCUUUGAUGAGGACGCGGAGCCGCGGCGGAGCCGGAGGAAGCUGAUGGUCAUCUUUUCCAAGGCCUGGCCACGAGCUCGCCUUCCCGCCGGGCCUGGUGCUCCAGGACC
This 604-nucleotide long non-coding RNA is filed under the name Homo sapiens (human). RNAcentral describes it as "non-protein coding lnc-C1QTNF12-2:1". The record is from RNAcentral. Lineage: Eukaryota; Metazoa; Chordata; Mammalia; Primates; Hominidae.